ACGGGUGAGUAAUGUCUGGGGAUCUGCCCGAUAGAGGGGGAUAACCACUGGAAACGGUGGCUAAUACCGCAUAACGUCGCAAGACCAAAGAGGGGGACCUUCGGGCCUCUCACUAUCGGAUGAACCCAGAUGGGAUUAGCUAGUAGGCGGGGUAACGGCCCACCUAGGCGACGAUCCCUAGCUGGUCUGAGAGGAUGACCAGCCACACUGGAACUGAGACACGGUCCAGACUCCUACGGGAGGCAGCAGUGGGGAAUAUUGCACAAUGGGCGCAAGCCUGAUGCAGCCAUGCCGCGUGUAUGAAGAAGGCCUUCGGGUUGUAAAGUACUUUCAGCGGGGAGGAAGGCGAUGUGGCUAAUAACCGCAUUGAUUGACGUUACCCGCAGAAGAAGCACCGGCUAACUCCGUGCCAGCAGCCGCGGUAAUACGGAGGGUGCAAGCGUUAAUCGGAAUUACUGGGCGUAAAGCGCACGCAGGCGGUCUGUUAAGUCAGAUGUGAAAUCCCCGGGCUUAACCUGGGAACUGCAUUUGAAACUGGCAGGCUUGAGUCUCGUAGAGGGGGGUAGAAUUCCAGGU
This 576-nucleotide ribosomal RNA is filed under the name uncultured bacterium. Its description in RNAcentral is "bacterial SSU rRNA". It matches the Rfam family "Bacterial small subunit ribosomal RNA", at positions 102 to 674 of the family's 1533-position model. The record is from RNAcentral.